AUUCAAAGAGGUUAGAAAAAUAUUUUUGUAUUUUUUGGAUAUCAAAAACUAUUUUAAAUGAAUUAAAAAUGACCAGAAAAGAGAAAAUUACUAAAAAAUGUCAAAUGAUAAAAUAAAAAAUAUUAAAAAUCAUUUUUAGAAAGUAGAAAUUAAAAGGAGAAGAAUGAAAUUGGUCCCAUAAUUUUUGGACCAAUAAUGAGAGAGAUAUGAAUUUUUAAAAUGAAAUGGAAUUAAAAGAAUAAAAUGGAAUUAAAAGAAUAAAAUGA
RNAcentral lists this long non-coding RNA (266 nucleotides) under Lathyrus oleraceus (garden pea). RNAcentral describes it as "Pisum sativum (pea) long non-coding RNA (PSAT_LNC005769)". Lineage: Eukaryota; Viridiplantae; Streptophyta; Magnoliopsida; Fabales; Fabaceae. The record is from RNAcentral.